CCAAAAUUUAACCCGGUUCGAUUUAAUGGGGGGGGAGGGGCGGGUUUAGCGCUGUGCCCAUCCCCCCCUCCCCCACCGCGACCCCUCCCCGAAAUGUUUUUAUGGGGGUGGGUGGGGGGAGGGGGUGAAAAGACCCCCCAAAACCCCCAGGCCCCGCCCCCACCCCCUAAAAUUCAGCCCGGUUUCAUUUAUGGGGGGGGGGAGGGGCGGUUUUAGCGCUGUUCCCAUCCCCCCCUCCCCCACCGCGACCCCUCCCCGAAAUCCCAAAUUGUUUUUUGGGGAGGGGGAGGGGCACAGAUCCCACUGCGGCCGGCGGACAUGGAGGGGUCUUUACUGUGGGGGGAGGGGCGGGACGCCCCCCCCAGGGAGAUUUUGGGGUCGUUUUCCCCAAUUUUUGUCCCCCCCCGGUGACACCGGAGGGGUCCCGAGCAGCGGAGCGGGGGAGGGGAGGGGUCAGCCGAGGGUCCGGGAUGGAUUUUGGGGGGGCUGGAAUGGAUCCUGGAGGUCUGGAAUGGAUUCAGGAUGGUCCGGAAUGGAUUCCCUGGGUCAGGAAUGGAUUCCAAAGGUCCGGAAUGGAUUCAGGGUGGUCCGGAAUGGAUUCUGGAGGUCUGGAAUGGAUUUGGGAGGUCUGGAAUGGAUUCAAGGUGGUCCAGAAUGGAUUUUAGGGGGUCCAGAAUGGAUUCCAAAGGUCCGGAAUGGAUUCGGGGUGGUCCGGAAUGGAUUCCCUGGGUCAGGAAUGGAUUCCAAAGGUCCGGAAUGGAUUUGGGAGGUCUGGAAUGGAUUUGGGGUGUCCGGAAUGGAUUCAGGGUGGUCCGGAAUGGAUUUUUGGGGGUCCGGAAUGGAUCGGGGGGGCUGGAACAGAUCUGGGGGUCCCGGGCCCCCCCAAACCGCGGGCACGGAAACGGCCCCGAGUCCUUUCCCCUCCUGCCCCACCGGCCCGGGGGGGCCCAGUCCCGGUUCCGGAGUUUUCUUGGUCCCAGUUCCAGUUCUGGAGUUUCCCCAGUCCCGCUUCCAGUCCCGGUUCCGGUUCCAGUCCCGGUUCCGGUUCCAGUCCUGGUUCUGGCUGUGUCCCAGUCCCAGUCCCAGUUCCAGAGUUUUCCUGGUCCCAGUCCAGGUCCCAGUUCCGGUUCCGGAUUUUCCCUGGUCCCGGUUCCAGUCCUGGUUCUGGUUCUUUCCCAGUCCUGGUUCCGGUUCCAGUUCCGGUUCCGGAUUUUCCCAUUUCCGGUCCGUUCAGCCCAGGUGCAGCCGCUGGUGCCGGAUGAGGGCGGAGCUUCCCCCGAAGCCCCUCCCACAAUCCGCGCAGGUGAGGGGCGUGGCACCGACCUCAGGUGUGUCACAGGUGAGGGGCGUGUCACAGGUGAGGGGCGUGUCCCCCAUGUGGGGCGUGUCCCAGCGCAGGGGCGUGGCCGGGGCGUGGCCGCUCAGGUGCGCCAGGAGGGCGUGUCCCCGCCCCAGCCCCGCCCCGCAGCGGCCGCAGGUGUGCCCGGGCGCCGCCUUCCUCCUCCUCCUCCUCCUCCGGCGGCCCUCGGGCUCCUCCCCGUGGGCGUGGCGGUGCUUCAGGAGGGCGGAGCUGUAGCGGAAGCCCCGCCCACACUCGGCACAGGUGAGGGGGCUCAGGUGAGCGCCCCGCCCCCGCUGGCCCCGCCCCCGGCCCCGCCCCGAGCACCGCCCCGGGGGGCGUGGCCGCUGCGGGGGCGUGGCCGGCGGGGGGGCGUGGCCGAACCCGCCCAGGUGCGCGCGGCGGCCCAGGUGAGCGCGGAGGCCACGCCCCCGGCGGGAGCCACGCCCACCCGGAGGGGGGAGGGGCGGGGCGGGGGGAGGGGACGGGGAGGGGGAGGGGAGGAGGAGGAGGAGGAGGGAGUCGGGCGUGGGGGGAGGGGCGGAGACUUCGGCCUCGGGGGCGGAGUCAUCGGCGGGGGCGGAGUCAUCGUCGCUCGGGGGGGCGGAGUCUGCGGAGAGCGGAAAUUUGGGGGAAAUUUGGGGAAUUUUGGGUAA
This 1995-nucleotide long non-coding RNA is filed under the name Taeniopygia guttata (zebra finch). Its description in RNAcentral is "lncRNA (ENSTGUG00000024428.1)". Lineage: Eukaryota; Metazoa; Chordata; Aves; Passeriformes; Estrildidae. The record is from RNAcentral.